RNAcentral lists this ribosomal RNA (327 nucleotides) under uncultured eukaryote. Its description in RNAcentral is "partial 18S ribosomal RNA". It matches the Rfam family "Eukaryotic small subunit ribosomal RNA", at positions 1470 to 1796 of the family's 1831-position model. The record is from RNAcentral.
CCCUUAGAUGUUCUGGGCCGCACACGCGCUACACUGAAGGAGGCAGCGUGUACUCCUGGAUCGAAAGAUUUGGGUAACCCGCGAAUCUCCUUCGUGCUAGGGAUUGAGGUUUGCAAUUAUCCUUCAUGAACGAGGAAUUCCCAGUAAGUGCAAGUCAUAAGCUUGCGCUGACUACGUCCCUGCCCUUUGUACACACCGCCCGUGGCUACUACCGAUUGAAUGAUUUAGUGAGGACUUCGGACUGGGACCGAUGCGGCUUUCGGGCUGCGUCGGUAUUCUGGAAAGAUGUCCAAACUGUAUCAUUUAGAGGAAGUAAAAGUCGUAACA